UUUUACAAAGCCACUUAUUUAUUCAACUGGAAUAUAAGGUAUUAAAUUAAACCACCCAUCCCUUGGGUCCACUACAGGCAAACAAAGACAGCAAGACAUUUGAACACUAAUCUGCAUCUCGCGCAGGCUAUUUAGUGAAGAGGACCAAGCUUUAAAUGUGAACUUUUUAAAUGGAGUUUGGUUUGAAGGUUCAUUCUAGCACUGCAACUAGUGGUUACUUUCACUGAUUCUUUUUCAAAUCAAUGAUCCAUUUAGGCCCUAAAAUAUCAGGAAAUGCUUUAAAAACAUAAAGAGACCAUUGUGUUGUAAAAUAAAUUUAAUUCCAUCUUCAGAGCCUCUUUUAGACACCUCACAAGCCUCCAGUCAGUUGUAAAGACCAAGCAUGUCAGAAUCAGUUGUAAAAGUAAACUUGAUAUCCUGGAGCGUUUAUUUCUUUGUGAAUAAACGGUACUUCAGAUACGGGUUUCUUUGGGCGAGGUCAUCUCUGAGCUGCAGAGAACGAGGUCAGCAGAGUCGACUCGUAUCAGAAGAUGGCAAGGCUUUUCUCCUUCCCCUCCUCCUCUGGUUCGACGACGGCCGAGCUCUAAGAAACUCAGAACGAACUUCAAAACUAAAAAUGAUGAUGUCACGGUUUUGCAGUUUUCAAAGCCAGACAAGGAUCCAUCUGGUUUUGUGACUCAGCUGAUGGUGUGACCGGGACAAACAGCCCAUUCUGACAUGUUUAGGGAUAAUUGUGAGGAUACACAUGAUAGACUUUGCCUCGUAGAGCAAUAUAAAAGCCAGUUAAAGUAAAAAUCCUGAGUUGAGUUGAACUGCAGGCUGUGUUUCCAGAGCAGGUUAGAGAAUAAAUGCAGCAUGAUUCAGAUACAGUAGAUAUGUAUGAAAGUGAUGUGCAGAGUAGAGCAAAAACUUUGUAGAGGUUGUCAAAAUGUAGUUUAAUAUUUGUAGUAUAAUUCAACAAAAACCCCUUCGAGACGAAGAUAAAGCAUGAAAUAACUAAAACGUGGAGAUUCAAAGAUGCAAAACAAGAUGGAAAAUGACAGUACAAACUGUAAAUGGUUGGAUAACUUUUUUUUUUUGCUAACACGUGUGGACACUUUAAAAAUGUUGGUGAUUCCUGUUUUUAUUAAUUUUUGGAUUGUCAUUCUGUCAUUUCUGAGCUCUCUGCUCUCCUGACCAUUGAGCUGCCAGCUCCAUUUAUUGAAGCCAUGAAGCAGAUUGUGUUCUAGUAUUUGGUUGUGUAUUUGUUUCCUACAUGCUGUCUGUGUGAAGAACUCGUGCAUCUACAGAUCAGGGGCCUCAUUUAUAAAGCUUGCGUACGCACAAAACAGGGCAAAGGUUGUGAUUUAUAACAACAAACUUGGUGUGAGACUGUGCGCCAACCUUGAUGCUUGCUUAAGCACAUUUUGGAGACAGAGGGAACGGCAGUGCCGGAGGGUGAAGUGGCGAAUUGAAACCAGAUUGAUCUCAAACCUUUAUUGUCAUCACAUGUUAGACUUGUAGAGCCGGAUAAUCAUAAACCCUCAUUGUUGUAGAUGUUCAUAUAGUGCGCCAUUCAGCCUACGACUGUAUUUGCAGAACUAUGUUCAUAUAUCAAACUUCCAUCUUCAAAUGAUAUAGAGCGAGUGGUACUGAUUACUAAUUUGGAAAAGGCAUGUGACAAUCAGUCCAAUUGCUGAUCCUGCGGAUAAAUAGCAGAUAACAGCCAUGCGUAAUGUGGCACAAUGGAUGCGCUGGCAUUGCUGGAAGAUCACGUUAAGAAUGGAGAGAUUUUAGGGAUCACGGGGAUUUCCUGGCCCAUGACGAUGACUGGCUAAUAAGCCGAUUCAGAUUCCUUAGAGCAAGUACUCUUGGAUCUAUGUGCUGAACUGGGCCGUCUUAGACAGACCCACCCGCCCAAACCACGCCAUCCCAGUACAGACACAGGAGCUGACGACUCGGGUUUCUGGCAACACCGGCUCCUUCCAGCGGGAAUUGGCCGACAGGUAUGUGUUUUAUAUGAAGAAUAUAUGAGGUUACAUUUGUUGUCUAAAUCCUAUCUGGGUCUGAUAUAUAGUUAAAGGAUGUCCUUUAGGUCUGGGAUAUCACAACCAUCCCUCAGUGCAAUAAUUCCAGCUGUUUUGGAUGACAUUAUAAACAUGACCAGUCAAUACAUCAGGUUUCCUUACACUGUGGGUGAACAGGCCAACAUUAAACGGCAAUUUGCAGCGAUGUCCGGUUUCCCAAAUGUUAUCGGCGUAACUGACUGCACUCAUGUUGCUGUAAGGGCUCCGAGUGAAAAUGAAUUUGUCUGUGUGAACCGAAAAAAAUGUACAUUCAAUCAGUGUACAAAUUAUUUGUACAUCGGACAUGAUCUUAACAAAUUUAGUGGCCUGGGUCAACACGAUUCAUUCAUCCUGACUCACAGCAGUGUAGGGAAAAGACUGCAGGCCGGCGCUGCAUAAAAUGCCGUGGAUCAGCAGCUUAUUUAUAUACAGAUACAUUCAUGAGUUACUUUGCAUUGACCAUUCAUGGUAAAAUGUGGGUGUGUUGUGGGCGGAAUGUGAGGUGGAUCCACCUGUGCAAUCUUCCAGCUGGUGUGUGAUUUAUCAAGAAAUUGCGUGCAGCUAUGCUUAUGCAGAGUUUUAUAAAUCAGGGGCGAAGGGCGUACGCCCAUUUUGGAUUUUCAGCAUACGCAAACUUUUAGUAUAGAUUCUACGCAAUGUUUAAUAAAUGAGGCCCCAGAUCCUCAGCUCCGCUGCUCCGCUGCAUGAACUUGGACUGUAGAGCUGAAUGAUUAAAUCACAUGAAUCUUGAACUGACAAUGGGACGAUUAAGGAGCUCUACAUCAAGCAGGACAGCUGCUCUGGAAUCUUACAGACUGUUGCAUCGUCUCUGGCAGUUGUUGGACAAAUGUGGACUUCCUGGCCAACGUCUGGAUCUCCUGUGGACCUAUUGCAUUGCGCUUUAAUGAAAUGGGAUUGUUCUUUAGCUGAGGAUGACGCCGAGUUUGGUGUCCUGAAAGUGGGACAAAGACAGUCCCACUUCAGAAGCUGGAUGAGGAGAGGAACCCUGUCUGGUUGGAGAGCUGGAGACGACGUGUCAUGGUUGGAGGACUUGAUCUGAGGCCUGCUGAUGGAUGAAGAUGGAUACUGCCACCCAGAAGAUGCUGAAGAGAAAGGCCUGAUGACGAUUCCUCUGUGACCCACUGAUGUCUACAGAAAGAAGACCUACCUGAUCUCACAGUGCAUCCCCUUGAUGGACUCCUGCAGCUCCUUCCUACCUCCCUGGAUGCACAGUCAAACCUCUGCACAUGAUCCAGAAUGUUCAUUUUGGAUCAAAGCUAAAUGAAAAUGUAGAAUCUCCAGAUCUGUGAUUACUCCAUGUCUCACAAAUAAAAUGAUUGUUAGUUCUAUAAGAUG
Acanthochromis polyacanthus (spiny chromis) is the source of this 3401-nucleotide long non-coding RNA. RefSeq lists it as uncharacterized. The transcript is spliced from 2 exons. The record is from RefSeq and is a predicted model, not a curated record. Lineage: Eukaryota; Metazoa; Chordata; Actinopteri; Pomacentridae.